UACAGAGGGUGCAAGCGUUAAUCGGAAUUACUGGGCGUAAAGCGUGCGCAGACGGUUGCGUAAGUCAGAUGUGAAAGCCCCGGGCUCAACCUGGGAAUUGCAUUUGAGACUGCGUGGCUAGGGUGCGGAAGAGGGAAGCGGAAUUUCCGGUGUAGCGGUGAAAUGCGUAGAUAUCGGAAGGAACACCAGUGGCGAAAGCGGCUUCCUGGUCCAGCACCGACGUUCAGGCACGAAAGCGUGGGGAGCAAACAGG
This 253-nucleotide ribosomal RNA is filed under the name uncultured bacterium. Its description in RNAcentral is "partial 16S ribosomal RNA". It matches the Rfam family "Bacterial small subunit ribosomal RNA", at positions 524 to 776 of the family's 1533-position model. The record is from RNAcentral.